RNAcentral lists this ribosomal RNA (497 nucleotides) under uncultured bacterium. RNAcentral's name for it is "partial 16S ribosomal RNA". It matches the Rfam family "Bacterial small subunit ribosomal RNA", at positions 28 to 507 of the family's 1533-position model. The record is from RNAcentral.
GAUGAACGCUGGCGGCGUGCCUAAUACAUGCAAGUCGAGCGAACGGACGAGAAGCUUGCUUUUCUGAUGUUAGCGGCGGACGGGUGAGUAACACGUGGAUAUCCUAUCUAUAAGACGGGAAUACCUUCUGGAACCCGUUGCUAAUACCGGCUAAUUUUGUGUACCUCAGGGUUCCAAUGUGAACUCCGGUCUUGCUGUCACUUAUAGAUGGAUCCGCGCUGCAUUAGCGAGUUGGUAAGGUAACGGCUUACCAAGGCGACGAUGGAUAGCCGACCUGAGAGGAUGAUCGGCCACACUGGAACUGAGACACGGUCCAGACUCCUACGGGAGGCAGCAGUAGGGAAUCUUCCGCAAUGGGCGAAAGCCUGACGGAGCAAUGCCGCGUGAGUGAUGAAGGUCUUCGGAUCGUAAAACUCUUUUAUUAGGGAAGAACAUAUGUGUCAGUAAAUGUGCACAUCUUGACGGUACCUGAACAGAAAGCCCCGGCUAACUACGUG